Long non-coding RNA from Homarus americanus (American lobster), 611 nucleotides. RefSeq lists it as uncharacterized. Lineage: Eukaryota; Metazoa; Arthropoda; Malacostraca; Decapoda; Nephropidae. The record is from RefSeq and is a predicted model, not a curated record. The transcript is spliced from 4 exons.
GUGCGAGAAGGUCAUGGGGGGUUCACAGGCCUGGAGGAGGACGCUAUAUAUUAUGGAACCUGCGGCUGAGAGUCAGUAGCUGUCUGUGAGCCUCCUGAAACAACAAUGCAGUGGCGCGCCCUUCUAGUGUUGGUCCUGGUGGCCGUCUUGGCCGUCUACGUCAAUGCCGCACCUGCGGCUGAAGCUGAGGCUGAGCCGUGUUGCGGCGGUCGUAGACGAGGUGGUGGCGGCUUUGGUGGAGGUGGCGGCUUCGGCGGCGGACUUGGAGGUGGUGGAUUUGGAGGCGGUUUUGGAGGAGGAGGAGGUUACGGCAAGUAAGGAGGAAUUACCUGCUGGAGGGAGGACCCACCUGCUGGAGGGAGGACCCACCUGCUGGAGGGAGGACCCACCUGCUGGAGGGAGGACCCACCUGCUGGAGAGAGGACCUGCCUGCAUGAAACUUCUCGGUUAUGACGACGUUCUCGACCUCUUUAACGCCUUUCUAAAAAAAAAAAAAAAAAUCUCAUUUUGACUCUCAAAAAUCCCAAACUUGUAUCUUCACUUUGAUCUGUUGUUGUGACUAAAUUAGGAACUUGUAUAAAUCUUUGUCUUCAAUAAAUGAACACGUAUUA